This 449-nucleotide ribosomal RNA is filed under the name uncultured bacterium. Its description in RNAcentral is "partial 16S ribosomal RNA". It matches the Rfam family "Bacterial small subunit ribosomal RNA", at positions 29 to 523 of the family's 1533-position model. The record is from RNAcentral.
AACGAACGCUGGCGGCAGGCCUAACACAUGCAAGUCGAGCGCGCCCUUCGGGGUGAGCGGCGGACGGGUGAGUAACGCGUGGGAACGUGCCCUUUUCUACGGAAUAGCCUCGGGAAACUGAGAGUAAUACCGUAUACGCCCUUUGGGGGAAAGAUUUAUCGGAAAAGGAUCGGCCCGCGUUGGAUUAGGUAGUUGGUGGGGUAAUGGCCUACCAAGCCGACGAUCCAUAGCUGGUUUGAGAGGAUGAUCAGCCACACUGGGACUGAGACACGGCCCAGACUCCUACGGGAGGCAGCAGUGGGGAAUCUUAGACAAUGGGGGCAACCCUGAUCUAGCCAUGCCGCGUGAGUGAUGAAGGCCUUAGGGUUGUAAAGCUCUUUCAGCUGGGAAGAUAAUGACGGUACCAGCAGAAGAAGCCCCGGCUAACUCCGUGCCAGCAGCCGCAGUAA